GGGGAAUAUUGCGCAAUGGGGGAAACCCUGACGCAGCAAUACCGCGUGAGUGAAGAAGGUUUUCGGAUCGUAAAGCUCUGUUAUUAGAGAAGAACAAGGAUGAGAGUAGAACGUUCAUCCCUUGACGGUAUCUAACCAGAAAGCCACGGCUAACUACGUGCCAGCAGCCGCGGUAAUACGUAGGUGGCAAGCGUUGUCCGGAUUUAUUGGGCGUAAAGCGAGCGCAGGCGGUUUCUUAAGUCUGAUGUGAAAGCCCCCGGCUCAACCGGGGAGGGUCAUUGGAAACUGGGAGACUUGAGUGCAGAAGAGGAGAGUGGAAUUCCAUGUGUAGCGGUGAAAUGCGUAGAUAUUAGGAGGAACACCGGUGGCGAAGGCGGCUUGCUGGACAAAUACUGACGCUGAGGUGCGAAAGCGUGGGGAGCAAACA
This 427-nucleotide ribosomal RNA is filed under the name uncultured Lactobacillales bacterium. RNAcentral's name for it is "bacterial SSU rRNA". It matches the Rfam family "Bacterial small subunit ribosomal RNA", at positions 356 to 774 of the family's 1533-position model. Lineage: Bacteria; Bacillati; Bacillota; Bacilli; Lactobacillales. The record is from RNAcentral.